AUAUAUAUAGUGUAGUCAUAUAUUGACUCAACAACUGCAGAACUCCAACUGUUUUCCUUAAAGCAAGUUUGCACUGUAAUUUAACUUACUUUACAAUAUAUAUUUUAAGAACAUGAAACUGAAGAUCGUUGUUCUCCUUCUACUGGUAUGUCUCGCGACUCUUGUUGUUAUAUCAGAGAGUUGUGGUUCUGGUAGCAAAGAAAGUGACAAAAAUUUAAUGCCAUAAUAACAGCAAUGAUGUGGAUGACCAAUGCAAGCAUGCAUAAAAUCAUAAAGUGAAUGCCAUAUUUUGCCCCUUUUUCGUUUUGUUUUUCUUCUUUUUGUUUAAAUAAUAAUAAACAUUUCCAUUUGCAA
Long non-coding RNA from Physella acuta, 354 nucleotides. RefSeq lists it as uncharacterized. The record is from RefSeq and is a predicted model, not a curated record. Lineage: Eukaryota; Metazoa; Mollusca; Gastropoda; Physidae.